CUCGGGGUAGAGAUGGCGAACCUGGUACCCCUGGAAACCCCGGACCCCCAGGGCCCCCGGGUCCCCCAGGGCCUCCUGGGCUUGGUGGAAACUUUGCUGCUCAGAUGGCGGGAGGAUUCGAUGAGAAGGCUGGUGGUGCUCAGUUGGGUGUGAUGCAGGGACCUAUGGGACCUAUGGGACCGCGAGGACCUCCAGGACCAUCGGGAACUCCUGUAAGUACUUGCUCUUUCAGGAGCGAUCUGUCUCGUUGGGGGUAAAAUAACAUAGUGAAUAUAUAGAGCGCCAUUGUUGAGAUGGCUAAUGAGCCUCCUUUGCUGUAUGUUGCAGGGCCCUCAAGGAUUUCAAGGCAGCCCUGGAGAGCCUGGGGAACCUGGAGCUUCUGUGAGUAACCAGCAGCUUCGCUUUUGGCCAAAGAAGCCGUGACAUGGCACAAAU
This 435-nucleotide long non-coding RNA is filed under the name Gopherus agassizii (Agassiz's desert tortoise). RNAcentral's name for it is "lncRNA (ENSGAGG00000004668.1)". The record is from RNAcentral. Lineage: Eukaryota; Metazoa; Chordata; Testudines; Testudinidae.